RNAcentral lists this ribosomal RNA (201 nucleotides) under uncultured methanogenic archaeon. RNAcentral's name for it is "partial 16S ribosomal RNA". It matches the Rfam family "Archaeal small subunit ribosomal RNA", at positions 321 to 523 of the family's 1478-position model. Lineage: Archaea; Methanobacteriati; Methanobacteriota. The record is from RNAcentral.
CCCUACGGGGCGCAGCAGGCGCGAAACCUCCGCAAUGUGAGAAAUCGCGACGGGGGGAUCCCAAGUGCCAUUCUUAACGGGAUGGCUUUUCAUUAGUGUAAAGAGCUUUUGGAAUAAGGGCUGGGCAAGACCGGUGCCAGCCGCCGCGGUAACACCGGCAGCUCUAGUGGUAGCAGUUUUUAUGGGCCUAAAGCGUCCGAG